GCUAUUUCAAAGAAGAAGGACUUUGAAGUGUUGAGGUAGGAGCCUGUAUCAUCUCUUUGCUGGUUUGCAGUUGCUGUGUUCCACCAGCAAGUAGCAAUUGGGACUAAAUUACCAGCAUUCAAGGAAUGUGCUCACAUAUUUCAGAGCUGUUGAGAAACAUUUGGCUGGACAAAGUCGAGUUCAAACAAGUUAUAAACCAAACCAGGGUUUGGUUUAGGACAUCCCCCCAGAGUGAGUUCCUUGGUGCCGCACCUCGGCUGGCGGGGUGGGCAGGGAGUGUUGUAUUAGUUUUAGCUUCCAGAGCCAAUCAUAGUUUCACCAUCUGCCUCUCCCACACCCCUGGCAGGCAGGCUGAGGACAGCACCCACUUAAUGGUACCUAGCCCAUUAUAAAUGCAAACCUUUUUAUUUCCUUGUAAAUAAAUCUCUGCUUCUUU
RNAcentral lists this long non-coding RNA (436 nucleotides) under Pan troglodytes (chimpanzee). RNAcentral describes it as "lincRNA". The record is from RNAcentral. Lineage: Eukaryota; Metazoa; Chordata; Mammalia; Primates; Hominidae.